ACAGUUAUUUUUUCUUGUCAUGAAUAUUAUAAGACAAUUUUAAAAACUCAUGUAUUUUCUAAAAAUUCAUUAAUAACUUAAUAUCAUUAUUAAAUGAAAAUUUACUCCUCUUAUCACCAUUUGUUCGUUGAAAUUCAGCGCCAUCUGGCAAUGAUUCAAUAAACUUUCUAUCCAAAGCCAAAAAUCUCGCAGCCAGUUGUAAAGAGAUAGGUUUGCAACAUUUGGCAACUUUUCGCUGUUUACAACUGGCUGAGGCGUCGAAAAAUUUCGCCCUGCGCAUGCGCAGUUGCUCAGCCGGUUGUACCCACAGACACAAGUUGCCGUGUACUGUCAUGUGGCGCUGUGACAAAGCUUUUCAACCAUUUUUGUUUACAUUUGAAACUGUGGAUCAAUAAUGCAGUGAAAUGCACCCAAGGAGAAUUAAUGGUUGGAUUUAGUCAAAAGAGGUUCUUGGAAAAGGUUUUGUAGGAUGUGAGAUUUCUCAACCCGUAGCGCAUGCGUAUGCUGAGCAGCACCCUCUGAAUGGCGGAUGGAACCGAAUAAAUAGACGGCAGUCGCGAGGCGUGUAUGGUUAUCUGCUAGUGUUAAACGUUAGCUCAGUUGUUGCUUAUGUCUCGGCGAAAGAGCGAGAUUUCAACAACUUACGGAGUCGAACGCAACAGUCAACGAACACCCGGAGUUAUGGUCUUUGGUGCCAUAGCAUAUCAUAGACGAUCUCAAUUGCUACGAAUUAUGGGUCUUCUGAACAGCAUCUAAUACAUUAGUGAAGUUCUAUAGACCCAAGUUGUUCCCUUCCUUCAAGCCUUGCCAGGCUCUGUAUUUCAACAGGGCAAUGCCCACCCUCAUAUUACUAGGACUGUUAAAUCCUUUCUUGCAUCGCGGCAUGUUCAGCUUCCUCCUUGGCCUGCGUAUUCCCCGAAUAUGUCGCCGGUUGAACAUGUGUGGGAUUUCGUUGGUCGGCGUCUCGCUCGUGAUCCUUGACCUGUUGCUUCUACGGGCGAACUUUGGGCAUGCAUACAAACAAUAUGAAAUGCUCUUCCUCAGACAGACAUUCAAAUUAUCAAGAACUUUUGGACAUUUUAAAGUUUUAGUCUUAGAUUUAGACAUUUAAAAGUAUUAGUCUAAGACUUGAAUAUUUAGUUCAAAAUAUUUUCAGAUUUUAAUAAAAUAAAAAUUUAUUACUUAGUUUUUAAUAAUUUUAUAUAUACUAUAAUUUUUUUUUUGAGAAUCACUUUGCAUAAUUUUAAAUCUGCAACAAGUAUUUGAAACAACCUCUCCGCGCAUGCGCGAACUGUCACGAGUGCUUUUGCAGAGCAGGUGAUGUUUUCAUGUUGAAGAGAACGGCAGCUUUCUCUUUUGCGGGAAUUUUCUCCAAUAUCUACCUUUACCUUUUCUAUGUUAUCUUUGUGUCUAAAUAAACUAAUGAAAAGACA
Non-coding RNA from Parasteatoda tepidariorum (common house spider), 1433 nucleotides. The record is from RefSeq and is a predicted model, not a curated record. Lineage: Eukaryota; Metazoa; Arthropoda; Arachnida; Araneae; Theridiidae.